GGGAGUGUAGCUCAGUGGAUAGAGCAGCGGUUUUCUAAACCGUUGGUCGUGGGUUCGAGUCCCACCUCUCCCGCCA
RNAcentral lists this transfer RNA (76 nucleotides) under Opitutales bacterium. RNAcentral describes it as "tRNA-Arg". It matches the Rfam family "tRNA". From Rfam's summary of the family: Transfer RNA (tRNA) molecules are approximately 80 nucleotides in length. Their secondary structure includes four short double-helical elements and three loops (D, anti-codon, and T loops). Further hydrogen bonds mediate the characteristic L-shaped molecular structure. tRNAs have two regions of fundamental functional importance: the anti-codon, which is responsible for specific mRNA codon recognition, and the 3' end, to which the tRNAs corresponding amino acid is attached (by aminoacyl-tRNA synthetases). tRNAs cope with the degeneracy of the genetic code in two manners: having more than one tRNA (with a specific anti-codon) for a particular amino acid; and 'wobble' base-pairing, i.e. permitting non-standard base-pairing at the 3rd anti-codon position. The record is from RNAcentral. RNAcentral also lists the same sequence under 1 other name. Lineage: Bacteria; Pseudomonadati; Verrucomicrobiota; Opitutia; Opitutales.